GCUCCCAGAGUGCCUCGCGCGGCGGGCCCGGAUCUUCGCCACCGCCGCCAUUUAUGGGCGGGGAAAGGGCUCGAGAAAGGUGGGGGUGGUCCUCUAGUCCCUUGCCUUGCGUUUCCCUGGACUUAAGGGCCGAAGGGACACUGGUGACUUGACCUCCUGGUAUUGGCUUGCACCGUCACCUGCAGAGGCAUUUCGCCUCACUUCCUUCCCAGCACCCACCACCACUAAAGUCUGAGAUGGGACCUGAGAUUCUGCGCUUCUAACAAGCUUUCAGAUCCCAGGAGGAGGCUCCUCCAGGCUCCUGAGAGGCCACACACAGGGUCCCCAGCACAGCUUACUGCUUAGUGUCUCCUGUGCCAUGGAGGAAGACAUGUGGCAGGAGUACCCAGUGCUAAUAUGUGUUCAUGUCUGUGGCAAUGCUGACCAUCCGGCUGGUUUGAACCAGGAUAAAAGUGAAGAUGUCAUCUGUGAAGACCCAACUCUUUCUUUGGCUCUUCUGUGGAAUCCAUCUUUGUUCUGCUGUCCUCUGCUGCCCAGAAUCUGCAUCCCUGAGAUCCCCCAAAUCAGUACUCAUGGUGCCUUUGCAGUUGUUUGUGGAUAAGCAUAGAGUGAUGAAGAAUUUGAGUUAUCCGACAUGAAUGUUCCCAGAUGAUGUUGAAUAAGUGAUUUUGCUGUUUAAAAUGCCUCCUUCCUCCGAAGCUUCGUAUUGAAGUGGUGUCCGGUAUUCCUAAGCAGAAGGCUGCGAAGUGUCUUACAGAGAAAAUAUGUGUGUUAGAUAAGCAUUG
Macaca mulatta (Rhesus monkey) is the source of this 785-nucleotide non-coding RNA. Lineage: Eukaryota; Metazoa; Chordata; Mammalia; Primates; Cercopithecidae. The record is from RefSeq and is a predicted model, not a curated record.